Molecule: ribosomal RNA, 301 nt
Filed under: uncultured bacterium
Lineage: Bacteria
Description: partial 16S ribosomal RNA
Rfam family: Bacterial small subunit ribosomal RNA
Source: RNAcentral
CAGCAGCCGCGGGAAUACGGAGGGUGCGAGCGUUAAUCGGAAUUACUGGGCGUAAAGCGUACGCAGGCGGUUUGUUAAGUCAGAUGUGAAAUCCCCGAGCUUAACUCGGGAACUGCAUUUGAAACUGGCAGGCUGGAGUCUUGUAGAGGGGGGUGGAAUUCCAGGUGUAGCGGUGAAAUGCGUAGAGAUCUGGAGGAAUACCGGUGGCGAAGGCGGCCCCCUGGACAAAGACUGACGCUCAGGUGCGAAAGCGUGGGGAGCAAACAGGAUUAGAUACCCGUGUAGUCCCUGUCUCUUAUAC